RNAcentral lists this transfer RNA (56 nucleotides) under Diaphanoeca grandis. The record is from RNAcentral. Lineage: Eukaryota; Choanoflagellata; Acanthoecida; Stephanoecidae.
GAACAACAACCUUCGGGUCCUCCAACGACAACGACGUCGACGACGACGAGGAAAGA